AGGUUGACCUCGGAUCAGGUAGGGAUACCCGCUGAACUUAAGCAUAUCAAUAAGCGGAGGAAAAGAAACCAACCGGGAUUGCCUCAGUAACGGCGAGUGAAGCGGCAAGAGCUCAAAUUUGAAAUCUGGCCCCCUCGGGGUCCGAGUUGUAAUUUGUAGAGGAUGCUUCGGGUGCGGCCCCUGUCGAAGUGNCCUGGAACGGGCCGUCNGAGAGGGUGAGANUCCCGUCUGGGAUGGGGUGCCCGCGCCCGNGUGAAGCUCCCUCGACGAGU
Molecule: ribosomal RNA, 272 nt
Filed under: Aspergillus chlamydosporus
Lineage: Eukaryota; Fungi; Ascomycota; Eurotiomycetes; Eurotiales; Aspergillaceae
Description: 28S ribosomal RNA
Rfam family: Eukaryotic large subunit ribosomal RNA
Source: RNAcentral